GAGACAGCAGCAGCCGCGGGAAUACGGAGGGUGCAAGCGUUAUCCGGAUUUAUUGGGUUUAAAGGGUCCGUAGGCGGACUUAUAAGUCAGUGGUGAAAGCCUGUCGCUUAACGAUAGAACUGCCAUUGAUACUGUAAGUCUUGAGUAUAUUUGAGGUAGCUGGAAUAAGUAGUGUAGCGGUGAAAUGCAUAGAUAUUACUUAGAACACCAAUUGCGAAGGCAGGUUACCAAGAUAUAACUGACGCUGAGGGACGAAAGCGUGGGUAGCGAAUAGGAUUAGAUACCCCCGUAGUCCCUGUCUCUUAUAA
RNAcentral lists this ribosomal RNA (308 nucleotides) under uncultured bacterium. Its description in RNAcentral is "partial 16S ribosomal RNA". It matches the Rfam family "Bacterial small subunit ribosomal RNA", at positions 505 to 809 of the family's 1533-position model. The record is from RNAcentral.